This is a long non-coding RNA of Ctenopharyngodon idella (grass carp), 566 nucleotides long. RefSeq lists it as uncharacterized. The record is from RefSeq and is a predicted model, not a curated record. NCBI's taxonomy places the organism in Eukaryota, Metazoa, Chordata, Actinopteri, Cypriniformes, Xenocyprididae. The transcript is spliced from 2 exons.
CGCAUAUGAAGGCAGAGUCAAUGUUGACAGCAACACUCUCGCUCUGACGCUGCAGAACCUGAGACUGAGUGAUUCUGGAAUAUACAGACUGACUCUACAAAAUAAUUCUGGAAACUCACUUACAGGAGAAACUUCACUACAAGUCGUGUUUUUCAAUUGCUAACUGUCACGAUCACCAGUGAGAGUGCCCAUCAUUGCCACCAGAGGGCACUCCAUCCUGGACUACACACAUCAUUUGGGCUCCAUUUCCCAUCUACCCUCAUACCUGGACUGAUCACCCUGCACCUGCUACCCAUUAUGCAAUCACUCACUCAUACAUAAAAGACACUUGCACCCACACCUCCAUGUGAAGGUGGUCUUUUCUGAGCGUUAUUGUGGAUUGUUAUUCUUGUGUUUGACUGGACUGUUUCUCUUGUUUGAUUCUCUGCUGCCUGCCCUGACCUUUGCCUGUUCCUGGAUUCUGUACGUUUGCUGCCUGCCCUGAUCUCUGCCUGUCCCUGUUUUCGCCUCUGCCUUGUCCUUGCCCUGUUGUGUUUGCUUAUCAAUAAAAACUGCAAAUGGAUCCU